AUUGAACGCUGGCGGCAGGCCUAACACAUGCAAGUCGGGCGUGCCGAAGACGGGUGAGUAAUGUAUGGGGAUCGGCUUGAUGGAGGGGGAAAACUACUGGAAACGGUAGCUAAUACCGAAUAGCAUCACAUGAACCCAGAUGGGAUUAGCUAGUAGGAAAGGAAACGGCUUACAUAGGCCACGACCCCUAGCUGGUCUGAGAGGAUGAUCAGCCAAACGGGAACUGAGACACGGCCCAGACCCCUAGGGGAGGCAGAAGUGGGGAAUAUUGCACAAUGGGCGCAAGCCUGAUGAAGCAAUGCGGCUGGUGGGAAGAAGGCCUUCGGUUGGUAAAGUACGUUCAGUCGGGAGGCGUUACCGACAGAAGAAGCACCGACUAACUCCGUGCCAGCAGCCGCGGUAAUUC
RNAcentral lists this ribosomal RNA (406 nucleotides) under uncultured bacterium. RNAcentral's name for it is "partial 16S ribosomal RNA". It matches the Rfam family "Bacterial small subunit ribosomal RNA", at positions 29 to 526 of the family's 1533-position model. The record is from RNAcentral.